GUGAAGUGUUUGAGGAAACUC
RNAcentral lists this microRNA (21 nucleotides) under Zea mays. Its description in RNAcentral is "zma-miR395k-3p". Its record names the gene zma-miR395k-3p. The record is from miRBase by way of RNAcentral. Lineage: Eukaryota; Viridiplantae; Streptophyta; Magnoliopsida; Poales; Poaceae.